AGAGGCAGGUGCGGAGCCGCAGCCGGGACUCGCCGAAGUCCGGGAGGGGAGCGCGGACCUGCCUCGGCCGCGCCUCAGCCGGCCCCGGCGCGCGGGACAGGCUGGGCAGAGAUAAAAGGGAACAAGAUUAUUUCUGUUUAAUAUGUGGGCAAUGCUCAGAGAAUAUGGUGAAGGGGGACGACAGAAGUACCUGGAUGAAUGGCUGGAUAGACAGGCAGUUGUGUUCCAGUGGGUGAACAGACUCUGAGUUGAUGAAAAUUGGCACUGAAGUCAAGACAGCUAUGAAAAUUUACCCCAGCUGAGGAUUGCUGGAAGGAAUGGCUGAGGGCUAUCCAUGCUCAACCACUGAUUCACUGCAUGAUAUGAAGAAAAUUUGGAACAACUGUAGCCACCAUCUCCAGUUCUUUGCCUCCAGACUGAGGGCUUUGUUGGUCAAAACAUAUGCCUUAAACUCAACCAGAAGCUAUUCAGAAGCAAAUAAAGAUGACAGAACACCAGGGAAAGUGCUUUGUGUGCGAAGCACAACUUAACAAAUGAACAGCCUUUGAAAUGCCAUGGGGCAGCAAAGUGAGAAGCCUUCACUAUUGCCAACUUUCACAAUUUGAGCCCCACACUGAGGGAUGCGGACAGUUUCAUUCACUCCAUUUUUGCCAAGAUUUAGCUGUCUCCUGACACUGUGUAAGAAGAGUAUGACACACGUGGUCUAGUCUCUUACCAGCACUUAUUUCCUGACCUUCCCUCAGGGGCGGCUCUACAUAUUCGGCCGCCCCAAGCAGUCAUGCGCGGGAGA
Molecule: long non-coding RNA, 790 nt
Organism: Mauremys mutica (yellowpond turtle)
Lineage: Eukaryota; Metazoa; Chordata; Testudines; Geoemydidae
Exons: 4
Source: RefSeq, a predicted model, not a curated record